GAUGAACGCUGGCGGCGUGCCUAAUACAUGCAGGUCGAGCGAACGGACGAGAAGCUUGCUUUUCUGAUGUUAGCGGCGGACGGGUGAGUAACACGUGGAUAACCUACCUAUAAGACUGGGAUAACUUCGGGAAACCGGAGCUAAUACCGGAUAAUAUUUUGAACCGCAUGGUUCAAAAGUGAAAGACGGUCUUGCUGUCACUUAUAGAUGGAUCCGCGCUGCAUUAGCUAGUUGGUAAGGUAACGGCUUACCAAGGCAACGAUGCAUAGCCGACCUGAGAGGGUGAUCGGCCACACUGGAACUGAGACACGGUCCAGACUCCUACGGGAGGCAGCAGUAGGGAAUCUUCCGCAAUGGGCGAAAGCCUGACGGAGCAACGCCGCGUGAGUGAUGAAGGUCUUCGGAUCGUAAAACUCUGUUAUUAGGGAAGAACAUAUGUGUAAGUAACUGUGCACAUCUUGACGGUACCUAAUCAGAAAGCCACGGCUAACUACGUG
RNAcentral lists this ribosomal RNA (497 nucleotides) under uncultured bacterium. RNAcentral describes it as "partial 16S ribosomal RNA". It matches the Rfam family "Bacterial small subunit ribosomal RNA", at positions 28 to 507 of the family's 1533-position model. The record is from RNAcentral.